GACGAACGCUGGCGGCGUGCUUAACACAUGCAAGUCGAACGGUGAAGCGCCUUCCUUUUUGGUGGGUGUGGAUGAGUGGCGAACGGGUGAGUAACACGUGAGUAACCUGCCCCCUUCUUCUGGAUAACCGCAUGAAAGUGUGGCUAAUACGGGAUAUUCUGGGUCUGUCGCAUGAUGGGUCUGGGAAAGAUAUUGUUUCGGUGGGGGAUGGGCUCGCGGCCUAUCAGCUUGUUGGUGGGGUGAUGGCCUACCAAGGCGGUGACGGGUAGCCGGCCUGAGAGGGUGGACGGCCGCACGGGGACUGAGACACGGCCCAGACUCCUACGGGAGGCAGCAGUGGGGAAUAUUGCACAAUGGGCGCAAGCCUGAUGCAGCGACGCCGCGUGAGGGAUGGAGGCCUUCGGGUUGUGAACCUCUUUCGCCAGUGAAGCAGGCCUGCCGCGUUUGUGGGUGGGUUGACGGUAGCUGGAUAAGAAGCGCCGGCUAACUACGUG
RNAcentral lists this ribosomal RNA (494 nucleotides) under uncultured bacterium. RNAcentral describes it as "partial 16S ribosomal RNA". It matches the Rfam family "Bacterial small subunit ribosomal RNA", at positions 28 to 507 of the family's 1533-position model. The record is from RNAcentral.